UACGAGCGUAGCUCAACUGGUAGAGCACCGGUCUCCAAAACCGGGGGUUGGGGGUUCGAUUCCCUCCGCUCGUGU
Molecule: transfer RNA, 75 nt
Filed under: Tautonia plasticadhaerens
Lineage: Bacteria; Pseudomonadati; Planctomycetota; Planctomycetia; Isosphaerales; Isosphaeraceae
Description: Planctomycetes bacterium ElP tRNA-Trp
Rfam family: tRNA
About the family: Transfer RNA (tRNA) molecules are approximately 80 nucleotides in length. Their secondary structure includes four short double-helical elements and three loops (D, anti-codon, and T loops).
Source: RNAcentral